CCUACGGGUGGCAGCAGUGAGGAAUAUUGGUCAAUGGACGAGAGUCUGAACCAGCCAAGUAGCGUGAAGGAUGACUGCCCUAUGGGUUGUAAACUUCUUUUAUAUGGGAAUAAAAUGUUCCACGUGUGGGAUUUUGUAUGUACCAUAUGAAUAAGGAUCGGCUAACUCCGUGCCAGCAGCCGCGGUAAUACGGAGGAUCCGAGCGUUAUCCGGAUUUAUUGGGUUUAAAGGGAGCGUAGGUGGUUAUUUAAGUCAGUUGUGAAAGUUUGCGGCUCAACCGUAAAAUUGCAGUUGAAACUGGCAGUCUUGAGUACAGUAGAGGUAGGCGGAAUUCGUGGUGUAGCGGUGAAAUGCUUAGAUAUCACGAAGAACUCCGAUUGCGGAGGCAGUUCACUGGACUGCAACUGACACUGAGGCUCGAAAGUGUGGGUAUCAAACAGGAUUAGAUACCCGAGUAGUC
RNAcentral lists this ribosomal RNA (460 nucleotides) under uncultured bacterium. Its description in RNAcentral is "partial 16S ribosomal RNA". It matches the Rfam family "Bacterial small subunit ribosomal RNA", at positions 338 to 795 of the family's 1533-position model. The record is from RNAcentral.